Molecule: unclassified non-coding RNA, 204 nt
Filed under: rhizosphere metagenome
Description: partial ribosomal RNA internal transcribed spacer region
Source: RNAcentral
GUAGGUGAACCUGCGGAGGGAUCAUUACCGAGUGAGGGCCUUCUGGCCCGACCUCCAACCCUUUGAAUUCCGACUCCGUUGCCUCGGGGGCGACCCGGCCCUCACGGGCGUCGGGGCCCCCGGUGGACCACACAACUCUGCAUCCGUGCGUCUGAGUAACAACCGAAUAAGUUAAAACUUUCAACAACGGAUCUCUUGGUUCUG